CAAUACCCGUAAUUCGUUAUCCGUAGGCCGACGAAGGCCGAAGGCCGAAGCCCAAACCCUUCGAAAACCCUUCUCCCGUCCUGCUCACUCCCGUCUCCGAGCGCCGCCGCCGCCAGCGCCGACACGCGAUAAACAAGAGGAAGAAGAGGCCAACCGAUCCAGCAGCGAUGGCAGGCGGGGGCAUGGUGGGGGGCGCUUUCUGGGCGACGCGGGCGCUGGAGGUGGUCAAGCGGAACGAUUCCCCGGGCCUAUUGUGGAAGCGCAUCAAGCUCACCACCACCCGCAAGAACAACGCCAAGAAGCGCCUCAAGCGGCUCUGGCAGAAUGAGGCGGUUAUAAGAGCUUGUGGUGCAUCAGCGUCUGACGCGGCUUCCACAGCUGACAAACAACAGUAGCUUGGAGCACAACUGGAGCAGGUCCUGUGACCUACCUAUGCUUGAUAAGCUGAAGCCUUGACUUUGCUGUCCACCCCCAGUGUUUUGAUUUUGCUGUCCUCGGAUUGAAUACUUUCUCCAUCCAGAGGACAACAUCAUUGCUUGUUACCAGCUCGCCACCCCAUUCUUUUUCGAAGCUUGCAAGUUUGGUUAAAGACAUGUUGGAAGAGUCCGGUGCCCAUCAAUGGACCGGAUGCUGCCCCAUGUACUCUCUCAUGUAGUCAUGUGCUGCGUUAACAAAACAUGUGGUGUGUGUGGUGAUGGUACAAGGAAGCACGCAACGGAAUACCAUGCUGCGUGUGCCGACGAAGCAGGACCCGAUUCGAUCCGCUGAUGAACGGGCACACGGCAAGAUACGGCGUCGUAUUUUAUUUUCCUCGUUUCAUAUUUUUUUUAAAAAAAAUUAAUUUUAAUUUCGCUUUUAUAUGCUCUGAUGGAUUGAAACAACAGUUCGGUCAACGCGAACCGUACCGAUAUUGCAUAGGGUCCCACUGUGUAGCACAAUGCUCAUGCUCAGUUCCUGGUGCCCACUGCCAGAGACAGUUUGGCGCGAACGAGCGGAAUCUUUCGGAGACCGCGGAAACCAAACAUGGUUUUGACUUUUGUCAAAUGAGAGGAUGGUUUCUUCUGUAAAACAGCCUGACGACCCGUGAGGCUGGAUUAGCAGCCCUCGUCGCCACCGUGUCAACUAUCCCGUCAAGCUAUCGUAGCUAGCACACAAUCUUUUAGUGUCGGCCUACACGUUAAUGCCGCAUCACAUCACCUUUGUUUUUUUUAUAAAGUACGACAUUUUGUUUAGAAACAAACUCAUGAAGCCGUUAUAUAAUUCAAACAAAAUAAAAAAAUGCAAAUAAAUAAAUAAAAUUAUAUAUUUCAUGAAAAUUACUUGUUAUCAUCGUCAUCAUGGCUCCAUCUCUUUCGCAUUUUCUUUAUCAUCUAGUUUUAAAUGUUUGAUCAAUUGUUUUACAGACAAUGUUUGGACCAUUUUUAUUGUAACAUCUAAAUAGACGGUGGACUGAUCCGGCAACUUGAUAAAGUGCGUGUACAAUUAUAUAUAUAAUGUGAUUUUUAGAUUGAUAAAA
This is an RNA transcript of Zea mays, 1516 nucleotides long. RefSeq lists it as uncharacterized. The transcript is spliced from 3 exons. The record is from RefSeq and is a predicted model, not a curated record. Lineage: Eukaryota; Viridiplantae; Streptophyta; Magnoliopsida; Poales; Poaceae.